AGCAGUCUCAUGUACAACAGCCAAUGGCAAGAGAAAUUUCUUGGUUUAGGCUUACUCUCAAUGAGGUUGAGAACCAAUUAGGUGAUUUAGGUAAACCAUUGGGCAGCAUGAACCUUGAUGAGUUGCUUAAGAAUGUUUGGAAGGCAGAGGCAAGCCAUUCUUCUGGAAUGGACCCAACUAGCGCUUCCCCUGCGGCCUCGCUCCAGCGCCAGGCUAGCCUGUCACUUGUGAGGACGUUGAGGGGGAAGACAGUUGAUGAGGUGUGGAAGGAUAUCCAGCAACGACAAAUGACUAGGUACACGGAAGAAAUGAUUAGCCACGAACGGGAGCCAACUCUUGGGGAGACCACUCUGGAGGAUUUCUUG
This 365-nucleotide long non-coding RNA is filed under the name Olea europaea (common olive). Its description in RNAcentral is "long non-coding RNA (OEUR_LNC006302)". Lineage: Eukaryota; Viridiplantae; Streptophyta; Magnoliopsida; Lamiales; Oleaceae. The record is from RNAcentral.